GAUGAAGAACGUAGCGAAAUGCGAUACUUGGUGUGAAUUGCAGAAUCCCGUGAACCAUCGAAUCUUUGAACGCACAUUGCGCCCUUUGGUAUUCCUUAGGGCAUGCCUGUUCGAGCGUCAUUUAAACCUUCAAGCUCAGCUUGGUGUUGGGUGACUGUCCGCUUCACCGCGGACUCGCCUCAAAAUUAUUGGCGGCCGGUACAUUGGCUUCGAGCGCAGCAGAAACGCGAACUCGGGCCCGUCGUAUUGGCUCCCAGAAGCUAUCUUCACAAUUUUGACCUCGGAUCAGGUAGGGAUACCCGCUGAACUUAAGCAUAUCAAUAAGCGGAGGA
Molecule: unclassified non-coding RNA, 332 nt
Filed under: soil metagenome
Description: partial contains 5.8S ribosomal RNA, internal transcribed spacer 2, and large subunit ribosomal RNA
Rfam family: 5.8S ribosomal RNA (bases 1-120)
Source: RNAcentral